This 585-nucleotide ribosomal RNA is filed under the name uncultured bacterium. RNAcentral describes it as "partial 16S ribosomal RNA". It matches the Rfam family "Bacterial small subunit ribosomal RNA", at positions 355 to 1375 of the family's 1533-position model. The record is from RNAcentral.
UGGGGAAUUUUGGACAAUGGGCGAAAGCCUGAUCCAGCAAUGCCGCGUGUGUGAAGAAGGCCUUCGGGUUGUAAAGCACUUUUGUCCGGAAAGAAAUCCUUGGCUCUAAUACAGUCGGGGGAUGACGGUACCGGAAGAAUAAGCACCGGCUAACUACGUGCCAGCAGCCGCGGUAAUACGUAGGGUGCAAGCGUUAAUCGGAAUUACUGGGCGUAAAGCGUGCGCAGGCGGUUUGCUAAGACCGAUGUGAAAUCCCCGGGCUCAACCUGGGAACUGCAUUGGUGACUGGCAGGCUAGAGUAUGGCAGAGGGGGGUAGAAUUCCACGUGUAGCAGUGAAAUGCGUAGAGAUGUGGAGGAACACCGAUGGCGAAGGCAGCCCCCUGGGCCAAUACUGACGCUCAUGCACGAAAGCGUGGGGAGCAAACAGGAUUAGAUACCCUGGUAGUCCACGCCCUAAACGAUGUCAACUGGUUGUCGGGCCUUCAUUGGCUUGGUAACGUAGCUAACGCGUGAAGUUGACCGCCUGGGGAGUACGGUCGCAAGAUUAAAACUUAAAUGAAUUGACGGGGUCAUAGCUGUUUCCU